This 468-nucleotide ribosomal RNA is filed under the name uncultured bacterium. RNAcentral describes it as "partial 16S ribosomal RNA". It matches the Rfam family "Bacterial small subunit ribosomal RNA", at positions 28 to 507 of the family's 1533-position model. The record is from RNAcentral.
GACGAACGCUGGCGGCGUGCUUAACACAUGCAAGUCGAACGGAAAGGCCCUGCUUUUGUGGGGUGCUCGAGUGGCGAACGGGUGAGUAACACGUGAGUAACCUGCCCUGGACUUUGGGAUAACUUCAGGAAACUGGGGCUAAUACCGGAUAGGAGCUCCUGCUGCAUGGUGGGGGUUGGAAAGUUUCGGCGGUUGGGGAUGGACUCGCGGCUUAUCAGCUUGUUGGUGGGGUAGUGGCUUACCAAGGCUUUGACGGGUAGCCGGCCUGAGAGGGUGAACGGCCACAUUGGGACUGAGAUACGGCGCAGACUCCUACGGGAGGCAGCAGUGGGGAAUAUUGCACAAUGGGCGGAAGCCUGAUGCAGAAACGCCGCGUGCGGGAUGACGGCCUUCGGGUUGUAAACCGCUUUCGCCUGUGACGAAGCGUGAGUGACGGUAAUGGGUAAAGAAGCACCGGCUAACUACGUG